RNAcentral lists this ribosomal RNA (542 nucleotides) under Palaemon pugio. RNAcentral's name for it is "bacterial SSU rRNA". It matches the Rfam family "Eukaryotic small subunit ribosomal RNA", at positions 408 to 917 of the family's 1831-position model. RNAcentral also lists the same sequence under 3 other names. Lineage: Eukaryota; Metazoa; Arthropoda; Malacostraca; Decapoda; Palaemonidae. The record is from RNAcentral.
UACCACAUCCAAGGAAGGCAGCAGGCACGCAAAUUACCCAAUCCCAGCUCUGGGAGGUAGUGACGAAAAAUAACAAUGCGGGACUCUUCCGAGUCUGCGUAAUUGGAAUGAGCACACUUUAAAUCCUUUAGCAACAACCAAUUGGAGGGCAAGUCUGGUGCCAGCAGCCGCGGUAAUUCCAGCUCCAAUAGCGUAUAUUAAAGUUGUUGCGGUUAAAAAGCUCGUAGUUCGAGCUCAGUUCCGGACUGGCUGGGGAGGUCACCGCCCGGUGCUUCCCCGUCAGGCUCCGAACAGCUUCCGUGAGUGGAAGCCAAGCCGGUUCUGCCGGGGUGCUCUUUACCGAGUGUCCCGCGCGGCCGGCCAGUUCACCUUGAAUAAAUGAGAGUGCUCAAAGCAGGCUACUCUCGAAUACAAUGCCCGAAUGUUACCUGCAUGGAAUGAUGGAAGAUGAUCUCGGUUCCAUUUUCUUGGUGGUGGGAGCCAGAGGUAAUGAUAAAGAGGGACUGUCGGGGGCAUCCGUACUACGACGCGAGAGGUGAAAU